RNAcentral lists this ribosomal RNA (482 nucleotides) under uncultured bacterium. Its description in RNAcentral is "bacterial SSU rRNA". It matches the Rfam family "Bacterial small subunit ribosomal RNA", at positions 28 to 511 of the family's 1533-position model. The record is from RNAcentral.
GAUGAACGCUAGCGGCAGGCUUAACACAUGCAAGUCGAGGGGUAUAGUCCUUCGGAGCUAGAGACCGGCGCACGGGUGCGUAACGCGUAUGCAAUCUACCUUUUACAGAGGGAUAGCCCAGAGAAAUUUGGAUUAAUACCUCAUAGUAUGUGAGAAUCGCAUGGUUUUCACAUUAAAGUUCCAACGGUAAAAGAUGAGCAUGCGUCCCAUUAGCUAGAUGGUAAGGUAACGGCUUACCAUGGCGACGAUGGGUAGGGGUCCUGAGAGGGAGAUCCCCCACACUGGUACUGAGACACGGACCAGACUCCUACGGGAGGCAGCAGUGAGGAAUAUUGGACAAUGGGCGCAAGCCUGAUCCAGCCAUGCCGCGUGCAGGAUGACGGUCCUAUGGAUUGUAAACUGCUUUUGUACAGGAAGAAACACUCCCUCGUGAGGGAGCUUGACGGUACUGUAAGAAUAAGGAUCGGCUAACUCCGUGCCAG